AUACAGAGGGUGCAAGCGUUAAUCGGAAUUACUGGGCGUAAAGGGUGCGUAGGUGGUUUGAUAAGUCAGGUGUGAAAUCCCAGAGCUUAACUUUGGAAUGGCGCUUGAAACUGUCAGACUAGAGUACUGUAGAGGGUAGCGGAAUUUCCGGUGUAGCGGUGAAAUGCGUAGAGAUCGGAAGGAACACCAGUGGCGAAGGCGGCUACCUGGACAGAGACUGACACUGAUGUACGAAAGCGUGGGUAGCGAACAGGAUUAGAUACCCUGGUAGUCCAUGCUGUAAACGAUGAGAACUAACUGUUUGUUUCGAUUAUGAGAUGGGUAGUGAAGCUAACGCGAUAAGUAGACCGCCUGGGGAGUACGGCCGCAAGGUUAAAACUCAAAUGAAUUGACGGGGCCCGCGACAAGCGGUGGAGCAUGUGGUUUAAUUCGAUGCAACGCGAAGAACCUUACCUACUCUUGACAUACUAGAAACUUUU
This 479-nucleotide ribosomal RNA is filed under the name uncultured Gammaproteobacteria bacterium. Its description in RNAcentral is "bacterial SSU rRNA". It matches the Rfam family "Bacterial small subunit ribosomal RNA", at positions 523 to 1000 of the family's 1533-position model. The record is from RNAcentral. Lineage: Bacteria; Pseudomonadati; Pseudomonadota; Gammaproteobacteria.